This 246-nucleotide microRNA precursor is filed under the name Zea mays. RNAcentral's name for it is "miR159a stem-loop (zma-MIR159a)". Its record names the gene zma-MIR159a. It matches the Rfam family "MIR159 microRNA precursor family". The record is from miRBase by way of RNAcentral. Lineage: Eukaryota; Viridiplantae; Streptophyta; Magnoliopsida; Poales; Poaceae.
UCGAUGCUUUGGGUUUGAAGCGGAGCUCCUAUCAUUCCAAUGAAGGGUCGUUCCGAAGGGCUGGUUCCGCUGCUCGUUCAUGGUUCCCACUAUCCUAUCUCAUCAUGUGUAUAUAUGUAAUCCAUGGGGGAGGGUUUCUCUCGUCUUUGAGAUAGGCUUGUGGUUUGCAUGACCGAGGAGCUGCACCGCCCCCUUGCUGGCCGCUCUUUGGAUUGAAGGGAGCUCUGCAUCCUGAUCCACCCCUCC